The sequence is a transfer RNA, 74 nucleotides long. It matches the Rfam family "tRNA". From Rfam's summary of the family: Transfer RNA (tRNA) molecules are approximately 80 nucleotides in length. Their secondary structure includes four short double-helical elements and three loops (D, anti-codon, and T loops).
GGGGGUAUAACUCAGUGGUAGAGUGGCUGAUUGCAGUCAUCAGCAAGUCGGGUGUUCGACCCACUCUGCUCCCU